RNAcentral lists this ribosomal RNA (497 nucleotides) under uncultured bacterium. Its description in RNAcentral is "partial 16S ribosomal RNA". It matches the Rfam family "Bacterial small subunit ribosomal RNA", at positions 28 to 507 of the family's 1533-position model. The record is from RNAcentral.
GAUGAACGCUGGCGGCGUGCCUAAUACAUGCAAGUCGAGCGAACAGACGAGGAGCUUGCUCCUCUGACGUUAGCGGCGGGCGGGUGAGUAACACGUGGAUAACCUACCUAUAAGACUGGGAUAACUUCGGGAAACCGGAGCUAAUACCGGAUAAUAUAUUGAACCGCAUGGUUCAAUAGUGAAAGACGGUUUUGCUGUCACUUAUAGAUGGAUCCGCGCCGCAUUAGCUAGUUGGUAAGGUAACGGCUUACCAAGGCAACGAUGCGUAGCCGACCUGAGAGGGUGAUCGGCCACACUGGAACUGAGACACGGUCCAGACUCCUACGGGAGGCAGCAGUAGGGAAUCUUCCGCAAUGGGCGAAAGCCUGACGGAGCAACGCCGCGUGAGUGAUGAAGGUCUUCGGAUUGUAAAACUCUGUUAUUAGGGAAGAACAAAUGUGUAAGUAACUAUGCACGUCUUGACGGUACCUAAUCAGAAAGCCACGGCUAACUACGUG